RNAcentral lists this ribosomal RNA (480 nucleotides) under Exiguobacterium acetylicum. RNAcentral describes it as "bacterial SSU rRNA". It matches the Rfam family "Bacterial small subunit ribosomal RNA", at positions 31 to 482 of the family's 1533-position model. The record is from RNAcentral. Lineage: Bacteria; Bacillati; Bacillota; Bacilli; Caryophanales.
GAACGCUGGCGGCGUGCCUAAUACAUGCAAGUCGAGCGCAGGAAGCCGUCUGAACCCUUCGGGGGGACGACGGUGGAAUGAGCGGCGGACGGGUGAGUAACACGUAAAGAACCUGCCCAUAGGUCUGGGAUAACCACGAGAAAUCGGGGCUAAUACCGGAUGUGUCAUCGGACCGCAUGGUCCGCUGAUGAAAGGCGCUCCGGCGUCGCCCAUGGAUGGCUUUGCGGUGCAUUAGCUAGUUGGUGGGGUAACGGCCCACCAAGGCGACGAUGCAUAGCCGACCUGAGAGGGUGAUCGGCCACACUGGGACUGAGACACGGCCCAGACUCCUACGGGAGGCAGCAGUAGGGAAUCUUCCACAAUGGACGAAAGUCUGAUGGAGCAACGCCGCGUGAACGAUGAAGGCUUUCGGGUCGUAAAGUUCUGUUGUAAGGGAAGAACAAGUGCCGCAGGCAAUGGCGGCACCUUGACGGUACCUUG